RNAcentral lists this ribosomal RNA (498 nucleotides) under uncultured bacterium. RNAcentral's name for it is "partial 16S ribosomal RNA". It matches the Rfam family "Bacterial small subunit ribosomal RNA", at positions 29 to 507 of the family's 1533-position model. The record is from RNAcentral.
ACGAACGCUGGCGGCGUGCCUAAUACAUGCAAGUCGAGCGAAGUUUUUCUGGUGCUUGCACUAGAAAAACUUAGCGGCGAACGGGUGAGUAACACGUAAAGAACCUGCCUCAUAGACUGGGACAACUAUUGGAAACGAUAGCUAAUACCGGAUAACAGUAUUUCUCGCAUGAGAGAUAUUUAAAAGUUGGUUAUGCUAACACUAUGAGAUGGCUUUGCGGUGCAUUAGCUAGUUGGUGGGGUAAAGGCCCACCAAGGCGACGAUGCAUAGCCGACCUGAGAGGGUGAUCGGCCACACUGGGACUGAGGCACGGCCCAGACUCCUACGGGAGGCAGCAGUAGGGAAUCUUCCGCAAUGGGCGAAAGCCUGACGGAGCAACGCCGCGUGAGUGAAGAAGGAUUUCGGUUCGUAAAGCUCUGUUGUUAGGGAAGAAUGGAUAUGUAGUAACUAUACAUGUAAGAGACGGUACCUAACCAGAAAGCCACGGCUAACUACGUG